Non-coding RNA from Agelaius phoeniceus (red-winged blackbird), 787 nucleotides. The record is from RefSeq and is a predicted model, not a curated record. Lineage: Eukaryota; Metazoa; Chordata; Aves; Passeriformes; Icteridae.
GCCGGGGGGACGCGGCUGGAGCCAAGCGGGGCCUGGCACCCUGUGCCCACCCACAGUGCCAGCCCAGUUUCCAUUACGACUGGGACACCAGCUCCAGCAGCAUGAAUGACCCUAUGGUGGACUCGGGCAAAGCCAGUGACAUCUCAGUGUCCAGCUGGCCCACGGAGCCCAUCCAGUGGGCUCCCUUCCCUCUCCACCAGCUUUCCAGGCAGCGACCGCACAAGGCGCGCUGGCCGCAGUCGUUCUGCGAGGGGCUGGAGCUGGGCACGCUGGAGAGGAGCUGGACGGCCUGAGCCCCCGGAAACAGACGGACACGAGGUUCAGCUUUAAAACCAACCACAUUUUAUUUCCACGUAACGAGCUCAGUGAAGGAAUCCACACACUUGGACGAUACAAUCAACGCGGGUGUGAUGUCAGUGAUGUCAGUCCCAGCGGGGCAGGGCCCGGCGAGCCCCGGCCCCGGCUCCUGUCCGCGCCUCGCAAGCUCUGGCUGGGACUGCGGCUCCAGAGCAGGCAGAUACAGAGAGGUGUCAGGACACACAGUGCUGGCAUCCACCAGGUCGUGACUUUUGGGGGCAGUCUGGGCAGAAAGGCUGGCGGUUCCGGAGGGCGCGUCGGGCUCUGGACGCAGCGGCUCUGCCCCGCGGCCGCCGCAGGACGAGCUCAGCCACGCCGCAGGGAGGGAGGGAGACACACGAAAGCGCUGCUGCGUCGUUCAUCAUGAUUCAUGUCAAUGAGGUAUAAACACCAGGAUGUUGUAAGCAUUAAAGUUUAUUUUCCAAAAUGC